GGGAGGCAGCAGUGGGGAAUAUUGCGCAAUGGGGGCAACCCUGACGCAGCCAUGCCGCGUGUGUGAAGAAGGCCUUCGGGUUGUAAAGCACUUUCAAUUGGGAAGAAAAGUACACCGUUAAUAGCGGUGUGCCCUGACAUAC
RNAcentral lists this ribosomal RNA (142 nucleotides) under uncultured bacterium. RNAcentral describes it as "partial 16S ribosomal RNA". It matches the Rfam family "Bacterial small subunit ribosomal RNA", at positions 343 to 478 of the family's 1533-position model. The record is from RNAcentral.